Molecule: ribosomal RNA, 320 nt
Filed under: uncultured eukaryote
Lineage: Eukaryota
Description: partial 18S ribosomal RNA
Rfam family: Eukaryotic small subunit ribosomal RNA
Source: RNAcentral
CCCCUAGAUGUUCUGGGCCGUACGCGCGCUACACUGAACAGUUCAACAAGUCUUAACCUUGGCCGAUAGGUCUGGGUAAUCUUUGAACGCUGUUCGUGAUUGGGAUAGACCUUUGCAAUUAUGGGUCUUCAACGAGGAAUUCCUAGUAAACGCAAGUCAUCAGCUUGCAUUGAUUACGUCCCUGCCCUUUGUACACACCGCCCGUCGCACCUACCGAUUGAAUGGUCCGGUGAAAUCUCGGGACGGCGGCUUGGUCGCUUGCGUCCGACUGCUGAAACUUGAUUAAACCAUAUCAUUUAGAGGAAGGUGAAGUCGUAACA